Molecule: non-coding RNA, 72 nt
Organism: Cyprinodon variegatus (sheepshead minnow)
Lineage: Eukaryota; Metazoa; Chordata; Actinopteri; Cyprinodontiformes; Cyprinodontidae
Source: the annotation of a RefSeq genome assembly
GCCGUGAUCGUACAAUGGUCAGUACUCUGCGUUGUGGCCGCAGUGACCCAGGUUCCAAUCCAGGUCACGGCA